GGCAGGCGUCGGCUACCAUGCAGUCGAGCGGUAGCACAGAGGAGUUUGUUCCGUGGGUGACGAGCGGCGCACGGGUGAAAAGUGUGUGAAAAACUGCCUGAUGGGGGGAGAUAACUACUGAACGCGGUAUAUAACACCGCAUAACGUCUUCAGACCAAAGUGGGAGACCUUCGGCUCUUAUGCCAUCAUAUGUGCCCAGAUGAGAUUAUCUAAUAGGAGAGGUAGUGUCUCACCUACGCCACGAUCCCUAUGUGCUCUGAGAGUGUGACCACCCACUGUGAAACUGAGACACGGCCCAGACUCCUACGAGAGGCAGCAGGGGAAAAUAUUGCACUGUGGGCGCGAGCCUGAUGCACACGUGCCGCGUGUAUGAAAAAGGUCUUCGGUUUGUAAAGUUCUUUCAGUGAGGAGAAAGGUUUUGUGGUUAAUAACCGCAGUGAUUGACGUUUCUCGCAAAAAAAGCACCGUAUAACUCCGUGCCAACAGCCGCGAAAAUACGGAGGGCGCAAGUGUUAAUCGGAAUUAGUGGGUAUAGAGCGCACACGGGCGGUUUGUCAAGUCAUAUGUGAAAUCCCCGGUCUCCCCCUGAAAACUGUAUUCGACAGUGGAAAUCUAGAGUCUUGUAGAGGGGGAUAGAAUUCCAGGUGUAGCGGAGAAAUGCGUAGAGAUCUGGAAGAAUACCGGUGGAGAACGCGGCCCUGUGCACAAAGAGUGACUCUCGGGUGAGAAAGCGUGGAGAGCACACAAGAAUAUAUACUCUGAUACCCCACGCCGUACACGAUGUACACGUGGGGGGUGUGCUCGUGAGGUGUGUCUUCCCGGAUAUAACGCGAUAACUCCACCGUCUGGAGAGCACGCGCGCAAGGAUAAAACUCAUGUGAAUUGACGGAGUCCCGCACAAGCGGUGGAGCGUGUGUUUUAUUCUAUGCCACGAAAAAAUCUUAACAUACUCUUGAUCUCCAGAAAAUUUUCCGAGAGAUGUUUUAGC
Molecule: ribosomal RNA, 988 nt
Filed under: Buttiauxella gaviniae
Lineage: Bacteria; Pseudomonadati; Pseudomonadota; Gammaproteobacteria; Enterobacterales; Enterobacteriaceae
Description: bacterial SSU rRNA
Rfam family: Bacterial small subunit ribosomal RNA
Source: RNAcentral